GCUAUGGUGGUUGCUAUGGUGGUUGCUAGGUUAAUCUCAUUGAUUGCUAUGUUUAACUGUGGAAGUGGUUGCUAGGCUGUUGCUAGGGUACUUGAGGUGGUUGC
Alosa sapidissima (American shad) is the source of this 104-nucleotide long non-coding RNA. RefSeq lists it as uncharacterized. Lineage: Eukaryota; Metazoa; Chordata; Actinopteri; Clupeiformes; Clupeidae. The transcript is spliced from 3 exons. The record is from RefSeq and is a predicted model, not a curated record.